This 216-nucleotide long non-coding RNA is filed under the name Capsicum annuum. Its description in RNAcentral is "long non-coding RNA (CANN_LNC002473)". Lineage: Eukaryota; Viridiplantae; Streptophyta; Magnoliopsida; Solanales; Solanaceae. The record is from RNAcentral.
UCAAUAAAGUUAACUGUUGUGAAUUUUCAGAGUAAAAUAUCAGUUUGAAUUAUGGUUACUAUUUUUAAGGAUCCACCAAAUCAGAAAAUAAUUGAUUGCCGUUAAUUAAGAUAGAGAUAAUUGUAGCUGAUUUUAUUUCCUUGAAUUUAGUAAAAUAGAGAUAAUUGUAACUGAUUUUAAUUCCUUAAAUUUAGCCAAAACAGUUAUAUUAUACAU